This 110-nucleotide ribosomal RNA is filed under the name Aequorivita viscosa. The record is from RNAcentral. RNAcentral also lists the same sequence under 1 other name. Lineage: Bacteria; Pseudomonadati; Bacteroidota; Flavobacteriia; Flavobacteriales; Flavobacteriaceae.
UAAGGUGGUUAUAGCAACGGGGCUCACCUCUUACCAUUCCGAACAGAGAAGUUAAGCCCGUUUGCGCCGAUGGUACUGCUAUCCAGUGGGAGAGUAGGUCGCCGCCUUCC